RNAcentral lists this ribosomal RNA (292 nucleotides) under uncultured bacterium. Its description in RNAcentral is "partial 16S ribosomal RNA". It matches the Rfam family "Bacterial small subunit ribosomal RNA", at positions 505 to 796 of the family's 1533-position model. The record is from RNAcentral.
GUGUCAGCCGCCGCGGUAAUACGUAGGGGGCAAGCGUUGUCCGGAAUCAUUGGGCGUAAAGCGCGCGUAGGCGUCCCGGUAAGUCCGUUGUGAAAGUCAAAGGCUCAACCUUUGAAUGCCGAUGGAUACUGCCGGGCUAGAGUCCGGAAGAGGCGAGUGGAAUUCCUGGUGUAGCGGUGGAAUGCGCAGAUAUCAGGAGGAACACCAAUAGCGAAGGCAGCUCGCUGGGACGGUACUGACGCUGAGGCGCGAAAGCGUGGGGAGCGAACAGGAUUAGAAACCCGUGUAGUCC